AUUUUUUUUAAAUCCCCACCAGUAAUAACCCCAUGGUGGGGCGUAUCUGUGGUGGGAGAAGAGAACACGGUACAGAUUUGGAAUUACACAUAUAGAACAACAACAGUCCAGGAUCAGCUGCUAUCGCUGUCAGUGGUGCUUUUCAGAUUUGGUUUAUUUUAUUUGGAGCGGGGUAGACAAAAAACUUCAAAAUGGACGCUAUCAAGAAGAAGAUGCAGGCGAUGAAGAUGGAGAAGGAUAGCGCCAUGGAUAAGGCCGACACUUGUGAAGGCCAGUCCAAGGAUGCUAACCUUCGUGCAGAUAAAGUGAACGAAGAUGUGAGAGAUUGUCAAAAGAAAUUGACUCAGGUAGAAAGUGAUUUGGACACUAACAAGAAUAAGUUGGAAGAAGCCAUCAAGCAGUUAGAGGAUAGAGAAAAGGCACUUACUGCGGCUGAAAGUGAAGUAGCUGCUUUAAACAGAAAAGUCCAGAUGAUUGAAGAAGACCUUGAAAGAUCCGAAGAAAGGUCUCAAGCUGCUGCAUCAAAAUUGGCUGAGGCUUCUCAAGCAGCUGACGAAUCUCAACGUAUGUGCAAAGUACUCGAAAACCGUAGCCAACAAGACGAAGAACGUAUGGACCAGUUGACUAACCAAUUAAAGGAAGCUCGUCUCUUAGCUGAAGAUGCUGAUGGAAAAUCUGAUGAAGUUUCGAGGAAACUUGCUUUUGUUGAAGAUGAACUUGAAGUAGCAGAGGAUCGUGUGAAAUCUGGUGACUCAAAAAUCAUGGAGCUGGAAGAAGAAUUGAAAGUUGUCGGAAACAGCUUGAAAUCGUUGGAAGUUUCUGAAGAAAAGGCCAAUCAACGAGUGGAAGAGUACAAGCAUCAAAUCAAACAACUUACUGUAAAAUUAAAGGAGGCUGAAGCUCGUGCUGAAUUUGCCGAGAAGACCGUUAAGAAAUUGCAGAAAGAAGUUGACAGACUUGAAGAUGAUCUCUUCAAAGAGAAAGAAAAAUCCAAAGAAAUCACGGAUGACUUGGAUUCUACAUUUGCUGAACUCACUGGCUACUAACCAAAUACAAAUUCUGCAUAGCCUUCAAUUGUUUUUUUCUUGUUUUUAUGUUCGAGUUUUGUCAUAAACCAAUGUAGCUUUUUGUAAAAAUAAUGCUUUUUUCAUUUUAUUUUUUCAUUUUAUUUGCUUUUUUGUUGUUUUAAUAUGUUGUGUCUCCAGUUGUUGCUGUACAAAUUCGCUUCUAUAACUGCCAGAUGAACUCGGCCUCAACAAAGACAGAUAUAAGUCUUUGGCUGAUGAGAUGGAUUCCACUUUUGCUGAAUUGGCUGGAUAUUAACCUUCUAGACUUGGCCACAUUUUCGAAGGAAUUUACAUUUAAAGUAAAUAAUUACCCAAUGUUUUUAUCAAAUAAUAUUACCAUCAUAUAAAUUCUAUUAAUAAAUCAAAAGAAAGUUACAUUAAA
Aphis gossypii (cotton aphid) is the source of this 1449-nucleotide RNA transcript. It is a transcript of the gene named tropomyosin-1, with no coding region annotated. Lineage: Eukaryota; Metazoa; Arthropoda; Insecta; Hemiptera; Aphididae. The transcript is spliced from 11 exons. The record is from RefSeq and is a predicted model, not a curated record.